GCUGGCGGCAGGCCUAACACAUGCAAGUCGAGCGCGCCUUCGGGUGAGCGGCGGACGGGUUAGUAACGCGUGGGAACGUGCCCUUCUCUACGGAAUAGCCUCUGGAAACGGAGAGUAAUACCGUAUACGCCCUUUGGGGGAAAGAUUUAUCGGAGAAGGAUCGGCCCGCGUUAGAUUAGGUAGUUGGUGGGGUAACGGCCUACCAAGCCUACGAUCUAUAGCUGGUUUUAGAGGAUGAUCAGCAACACUGGGACUGAGACACGGCCCAGACUCCUACGGGAGGCAGCAGUGGGGAAUCUUAGACAAUGGGGGCAACCCUGAUCUAGCCAUGCCGCGUGAGUGAUGAAGGCCUUAGGGUCGUAAAGCUCUUUCGCCUGUGAUGAUAAUGACAGUAGCAGGUAAAGAAACCCCGGCUAACUCCGUGCCAGCAGCCGCGGUAAUACGGAGGGGGGUUAGCGUUGUUCGGAAUUACUGGGCGUAAAGCGCGCGUAGGCGGAUUAGAAAGUUGGGGGUGAAAUCCCGGGGCUCAACCCCGGAACUGCCUCCAAAACUGCUAGUCUAGAGUUCGAGAGAGGUGAGUGGAAUUCCGAGUGUAGAGGUGAAAUUCGUAGAUAUUCGGAGGAACACCAGUGGCGAAGGCGGCUCACUGGCUCGAUACUGACGCUGAGGUGCGAAAGUGUGGGGAGCAAACAGGAUUAGAUACCCUGGUAGUCCACACCGUAA
RNAcentral lists this ribosomal RNA (723 nucleotides) under uncultured Ruegeria sp. Its description in RNAcentral is "bacterial SSU rRNA". It matches the Rfam family "Bacterial small subunit ribosomal RNA", at positions 35 to 805 of the family's 1533-position model. Lineage: Bacteria; Pseudomonadati; Pseudomonadota; Alphaproteobacteria; Rhodobacterales; Roseobacteraceae. The record is from RNAcentral.